This 521-nucleotide ribosomal RNA is filed under the name uncultured bacterium. RNAcentral's name for it is "bacterial SSU rRNA". It matches the Rfam family "Bacterial small subunit ribosomal RNA", at positions 97 to 629 of the family's 1533-position model. The record is from RNAcentral.
GGUGAACGGCGUAGUAAUACGUAGGAACGUACCCUCGGGUCGAGGAUAGCUAUGGGAAACUGUAGGUAAUACUCGAUAACCUCUGCGGAGCAAAGGUGUGAUUCCGCCCGAGGAGCGGCUUACGCGAUAUUAGCUAGUUGGUAGGGUAAUGGCCUACCAAGGCGAUGAUGUCUAGGGGGUGUGAGAGCAUGGCCCCCACGACCGGAACUGAGAUACUGUCCGGACACCUACGGGUGGCUGCAGUCGAGAAUCUUCCGCAAUGGACGAAAGUCUGACGGAGCGACGCCGCGUGCGGGAUGAAGGCCCUUGGGUUGUAAACCGCUGUCAGAGGGGAUGAAAUCUUCGGAGGUACUCCUCCGAAGUUGACAGAGCCUCAAAGGAAGCACGGGCUAAGUACGUGCCAGCAGCCGCGGUAACACGUACUGUGCGAACGUUAUUCGGAAUCACUGGGCUUAAAGGGUGCGUAGGCGGCGAUUCAAGUCAGAUGUGAAUGCCUGAGCUCAACUGAGGCAUUGCGUUUG